Long non-coding RNA from Gallus gallus (chicken), 3956 nucleotides. NCBI's taxonomy places the organism in Eukaryota, Metazoa, Chordata, Aves, Galliformes, Phasianidae. The record is from Ensembl.
GUGUCUUCUCUCGGAUCGCGUGUGCGUUGUUCAGGAGAACCAUUUCUGGCUGCAGAAGGUUGCCUAAGCUGAUAACCAAAGGAAUGAAAAGAUGGAGGGAUUAGGAAGUGCAGCGAGAUAAACUCAGGCUAUAAGCAAGGUGCUGAUAAUAAAAACUGAGCAAGCUUGCUACGAAUGCAGGUGUGCUUCUUACCAUUAUGAAGCCAAGCCUGGCUGUCACUGCAGGGCAAACUUGCUGCCCUUACACACCCGGUGCAUGAAACACAUGGGGGAGUGUGGGCAGGAGGCUGUGUAGCCAUUGGGACAGCAUCUUCCAGCCUUCAAGUCCAUUAACCUCUGGCUUUCACCUCCCUCUCCAAUAGGAAUAGUGAUUUUUGUCUGAGGAACGUGUUCUUUGAAAAAUAAGGUCCCACUGGGGCACAGCUGGGUCCACAGACAGCACAGACCAGGCAGUGCAGGCCAUGUGUCAGGCCGUGCUCAUCCUGACUGGAACAAGCUGCCCAACGUGGGCUCUCACAACGGGCAGCACCUUGGGCUUCACUCCAUGAGCUCAUUUGACAUUUUCACACAUUCUGUAGCGCUGCUCUGACUGGUGCCACUCGCUCUUCUGUCAUCUAAUUAACUAACGAGACACACGAUGAAGCCAUGACAUGCACAAGGAAUGACAGGGCCACCGAGUGCUGCAGUGUGACGUUCCCUACGGCGCCCAGCAGAGCAGCAGGAGCGGGGCAGGCUUGCAGAGAUAAGGCACUAAUGGAUGUUGAAGUACGGGCACUUCUCAGAGUGAAGAGAACCAGUGCCCCAAAUGAGACCCAAGGAGCUUUAACCCCGGGCACUUUGCUGCAGGAGGAAACUGCUGCUUCCACUGGGAGCCGGCCCUGGCUGGGCAGCAUGAUGGGGGCUUCCCAAAGUCAACACAGAGCCCUUGGAUCUGCAGUAGCUCCCUUGGAAUGUUUCAGUUUUGAGUUAAUAAAGCUGUUAUACCUAAAUCAAGUUAGAGGUAUCUGAUGUUACUCUAUUCGGUUUUCAUUGCCUUUUGUUUAGGAAACUAAAUACCAUGAUGCAUAAUAAUAAUUAAAGAUUGGCAGAUGAGCAGGAAAUCAAUCCACAUCUCCCGAGCAGAUAUUAACUCCCAUUCAUUUUUUUGCUUGUUUGCUCCUUUUUACAAACAUGCAGCCACACUGCCUUACCUACACUGAAUUAGCAGAGCUCACCAACAGAUGCCCUCACUGAUGGAGCACGGCUGGGGCUGCUCUCUGGAAGAGCUCCCAGCAUCCCCUGUGACCCCCCUGCAAAUGCAGUUUGCAGAACAGACUCUCCUCUCUUUCAGCAGCUCUCUCAGUACACAAAUGACACUUGCAGCUCUUACAGCCAGGGUGUAUAGCAUGCAUGAGAAAAUAAAAAAGCCUCUGCUCACCUGGGUUUGCAGGGGGCAGAUUAAAGAAACCCAAUCUGUUUUCUUUGAAAGAGGAGACAGGUGGGUAACUUGAUUACAGCCUACAAAUGCCAGCUCAGAAAAAGCUUUGUGAUGAUAAGAGGGGCUUCAGUGAGUAGCUGAAAACACAGGCAGAUCCAGAGCCUGGAAACUGAAAUGAGGCAACUUCAGAGUGGGAAGCAGGGUGGCUGUGGCUGAAGCAGGAGCUUUGUGCCAAAGGAGGAACACAUGCAGUAUCCCAGGGGUGGUAACUUUCAGGCCAUGCAACCCCAUGGAUAAAGCCAGCGUGCAGGGAGUGGGUGUGCAGUGACUGUACCUCCCGUGUUCCGAAAUGCAUCCAGGAGAUCCUGCAGAGAUAAAAGGCAGAAGGGAAAGGGAACCGCAAAGAAAGGCCUGUGGGUGGUGCUGGGGGGAAACAUGACAACAGAAAAUGAUGUGCACACACAUCAGUGCCUGCACAGACAGCACGACAAGAUGAGUUGUUAACCUGAAGCCUGCAGAGCAGAAAAGCAAAGGAGGGAGCUAACCUGUCACAGCCAUGACUGAGGGGUUUGGGUUGUGCCCGCAGGUGGCACUGCAGGUGAUGCGCAUUUGCACAGAGAAAUGAAGGUCCAGGUGAGUUAAAGGCAUCUCUGUGCAGAUCAGCCUGCAGAGCCCAAAGGGAAGCCCACGGAGAUGUGGAGCCAGCAUACAGUCCUUCCUAUGGCGUUUCUUUCUCCACCAAACAGAGGUGGGGUCACAAACUCAGCAUGAGGUGUGAACAGAAGAGAGCUGCUGGUAGCAGCCAGGCUGCAGGACAGCAUCGUGUAUGUGACAUUCUGGGGCUGGGCACUGGAGCACCAUCCACCACAGCCCUUCAAGGAGAGGCAGGAGCAGAUUUGGGAUUGGAUAAAAGCACCGUGAGACAUCCAGUGAUCGCAGCUCCAUCCAAAGGACACCUGCUGGCUUCCAAAGGCAGCAGCCUUCCUGCCAACAGCAAAUGCAAGUUGCCAGAUGUCCAUUCAGAGACCACUUGGGUUUUUAAGUAUCUAAGAGACAUUCUUGCCUAAGUGUCUCUUUAUCUGUUCUGUGCUUCCCAAAUGAAAACACAACAGAUAGGCAAGAUCAAGAGAUUUCCAAUCCGAGAAGAGCACUGGAACCACAGCGGCAAAUGGCAGCCAAAAAGUAGUUAUGAGUUCGUUUUCAAGGCAGGGUUGGAAAGAAGCUGAGGACAAACCACCCUAAACAACAGGGGGCCCUGCAGGGGCUCAUGGCUACUAAUUGAUCAUGAUGGCCGUUGUGGGGGGAGAAAUGCCCCCACUUCUUGAGAACUGCCAAGGAGAUUUGAGAGGAGAUGGUGUGGAUCCCAAAGUUCAGGUAGGAGUUCAGCAGAGUGCCAAAGGAAAACAGGGCUGGUAGAGAAGUGCCGCAUGUCAGGACAUGUCCUGCCACCCUCAGAGACUGGAGCUCCUGUAGUGCAAAAUACCUUGCAGCAGAUGACAGCCUCAGAGGACAGCGAGAUGAGUCCAAAGGCAGUGAUACUGUCGUUGAGUUUGGCUGUGCUGUCACCAGGAGGAACACACAGUGUCCCUGCAGGUUCCUUGCACUUCAGUGAUGCUCCAGCACGGCCUGCCCAGCUGUGAAUGGGUUGGAGAAGAGCCUGGCAGAGUUUUUAGCAGAACACAGCCCUGACACACAGGAGGUAUUUGGGAACUCUUGCAAAUCCUUUCUAAAUCAUUAGAGUAAAUUUUUUAAACCUGAUGAAUAUUAUACUAAUGCUCAGAUCAAACAUGACUUAAAUUUUGGGCAGCAAUGGGGGAAGGUCAUGCUGCAAGUGGAAAACCAGCUGCAAGGAGCUGGAGUUGCCUCGGGCAGAAUUCAACAUAAGCACCAUCAGUGCCGCAGCAUCGCUCCCUGUGUGUCCAUGUGUUCUUUUAUGGUCCCAAUGCCACUGUCAGAGCAGGUGCAAAGGAAAAGAAGAAAGAUAAACAAAACUAAAGUAGCCCUCCGUAACAGUCCACUCCAUAACCAAAGUCCCUUUGUGUGCUGGUUAAGUAAGAAUUUCUUCUUCCUUUCUCCAGCACCUCUCUGGUGCUCAGGGGCUAAUUGUCUUGUGUUCAUCCCAGUUCCUGGACUGCAUCCCAGCAGGCUCUAUGGCAGCCAAAUCCCGAUCUGUUUUUCCUCUCUGCUCCCUGCAGUGUGACGGGACUUGUUGGCGCUCGCGUGGUUUCCUACAGUUGUCUCUAUGCUGUGACAAGGGAGCCUCGUGCUGCCGGGUUUCCUCCCAGCGAGGAGCCAGGGCUGGUGGGACACCGUGCUGAGCUGGGGAGCUAUGAGGAGAGCCGGGAGCAUUGCUGCACCCUGCCUGCCUUGCCACUGUAUGGAGGUCCAUGGCUUUACCCAAGGACAUGUAGUCACAGUGAGUGACUCCUGGCUGCUGCACAGCAUCCCAGCACUAACCUCAAGCACACCCCCCAGCGUGGAUAUUUAUGAUCCCGAUUUACCACCAAACAAAAAACGCAGGUUGCUGUGUAAAUAACUG